RNAcentral lists this long non-coding RNA (1143 nucleotides) under Coffea arabica (coffee). Its description in RNAcentral is "long non-coding RNA (CARA_LNC004634)". The record is from RNAcentral. Lineage: Eukaryota; Viridiplantae; Streptophyta; Magnoliopsida; Gentianales; Rubiaceae.
UCUUGCAUGACCCAAAAACUGUGUUUGACCAGAAAAUUCUUCUCUUGUCUUCAUUUCCAGCCGAGAGACUACAGACAAAGCUAUAGGAAUUUUCCUUUUCUAGCUCCCUCUUCCAAUCGAGAGAAACUAGAGAGAAAAAAAAAUGAGAAAAUCAAACUUUCUUGCUCCAUUUGCAGUUGAGAACCAAGGCUGAUUCAGCCACAAACUCCACAAAAGUUCCCUAUUUCUUCAACCUUCAACCGUGAGUGAGGGAGCCUUCCUCUUUCCUUCUUCCAGCCGUGAGUGUAGGGAAAAGGGAGAGGAAAUCUGGAGUCUUGUUUCCUGAUUCCAGCCAAGGGAAGUUGGAGUAAGUUGGGAGGAAAUCUGGUGUCUUGUGUCGGUGCUUCAACCAAGAGAAUCAGUGAGGAAAGAAAGGGAGGAAACUGACCGUAUUUCCAGCUUAGUAUUUUGUAGGAAGGAAGGUAAAACUUGUGAUAAAACCUCUCAUUUUUCAAUACUCUUAGCUAGAGGUGGCAAUUUGGAUUGAAAUCCAUUUAUCCAUCCAUAUAAUCCAUAAUUAAAUGGAUUUGGAUUAUCCAUUAUCCAUUUAUAGUGUUGGUUUUAAAUGGUUCAUCAAAGUAAAACCAUUAAAUUAAAUGGAUUUAUAUGGAUUAUCCACAUAAACCAUAUAUAUCCAUUUACUUAAAACCAAAUAAAAGAAAUGGACUUUCAGUCCCCAUUAAUCCCCCAAAUCAAAGGUUUGUUUAUCUUUCUUCAUUCUUCCUUGUCCAUACGCGUAUAGAUUCAAAAUUAUCAACAUCGCUCCUCCAACUUGAAAAAUGUUCUCGGCUACAUUUUUCAUUUCCUGUCAUGUGUUUUCUAGUGGUGGUUCAACGUGGGCAACAUUUCACUUUUGUGAGUUCCUUGCAGAGGCCGUAGCCUACGAAAAUCACAGGGCAAUCCUCAUAUUCGACAGUCAUGGAAGAGUUAACUCUAGCGCAACAGAUUUACCGUUGCUCCUGUGUUGGAACAAAAAUGUUGCAACGUUGAUUCGUAAAUGAUCACGCAAGGGAACAGAAAUCAACAUUGCUGUUUUACAAAUAUCGCGUCAUGGAAUUGCAGAGCUCUUAUAUAGUAUUAAUUAGUACUUUUGUUUAUCAAGAA